This 292-nucleotide long non-coding RNA is filed under the name Crocodylus porosus (Australian saltwater crocodile). RNAcentral's name for it is "lncRNA (ENSCPRG00005014295.1)". The record is from RNAcentral. Lineage: Eukaryota; Metazoa; Chordata; Crocodylia; Crocodylidae.
UUUGGGUACAAAUCACCGUUGAAAAAGACAGCUAUUUAUACCUAGAGGCAAUCAGCAAUUGGAACAGCUUUGCAAAGUCUUAUUGGAGUUUGGAUGCAUGGAAAAACCCUUUAAAGCUGUGGAUAUCAAAAACAAGGGUCUAAGAAGUACUCCUUACUACCAAAUCCUUAUUAACAGAGUCAACAGAUUUGGCAAGUCUACAGUUUAUGUUCCUGAGGAAGAGAUAACAAUUCUUAUGAGACCAGAAGGUAUUAUUUCAGUUUGUAAGAGUUAAGUCCAAUUUCAUUUUAAA